This 447-nucleotide ribosomal RNA is filed under the name uncultured bacterium. RNAcentral's name for it is "partial 16S ribosomal RNA". It matches the Rfam family "Bacterial small subunit ribosomal RNA", at positions 29 to 523 of the family's 1533-position model. The record is from RNAcentral.
AGCGAACGCUGGCGGCAGGCUUAACACAUGCAAGCCGAACGCCCCGCAAGGGGAGUGGCAGACGGGUGAGUAACACGUGGGAACGUACCCUUUGGUUCGGAAUAACUUGGGGAAACUCAAGCUAAUACCGCAUAAGCCCUUCUGGGGAAAGGUUUACUGCCGAAGGAUCGGCCCGCGUCUGAUUAGCUAGUUGGUGAGGUAAUGGCUCACCAAGGCGACGAUCAGUAGCUGGUCUGAGAGGAUGAUCAGCCACACUGGGACUGAGACACGGCCCAGACUCCUACGGGAGGCAGCAGUGGGGAAUAUUGGACAAUGGGGGCAACCCUGAUCCAGCCAUGCCGUGUGAGUGAUGAAGGCCUUAGGGUUGUAAAGCUCUUUUACCCGGGACGAUAAUGACUGUACUGGGAGAAUAAGCCCCGGCUAACUUCGUGCCAGCCGCCGCAGUAA